UACGUAGGGGGCUAGCGUUAUCCGGAAUUACUGGGCGUAAAGGGUGCGUAAGUGGUUUCUUAAGUCAGAGGUGAAAGGCUACGGCUCAACCGUAGUAAGCCUUUGAAACUGGGAAACUUGAGUGCAGGAGAGGAGAGUGGAAUUCCUAGUGUAGCGGUGAAAUGCGUAGAUAUUAGGAGGAACACCAGUAGCGAAGGCGGCUCUCUGGACUGUAACUGACGCUGAGGCAACGAAAGCGUGGGGAGC
This 246-nucleotide ribosomal RNA is filed under the name uncultured bacterium. RNAcentral describes it as "partial 16S ribosomal RNA". It matches the Rfam family "Bacterial small subunit ribosomal RNA", at positions 524 to 769 of the family's 1533-position model. The record is from RNAcentral.